RNAcentral lists this ribosomal RNA (133 nucleotides) under uncultured bacterium. Its description in RNAcentral is "partial 16S ribosomal RNA". The record is from RNAcentral.
UGGGUAACGUCACAGAUGCACGCUAUUAACGUACACCCUUUCCUCCCCACUGAAAGUGCUUUACAACCCGAAAGCCUUCUUCACACACGCGGCAUGGCUGCAUCAGGCUUGCGCCCAUUGUGCAAUAUUCCCC